RNAcentral lists this long non-coding RNA (213 nucleotides) under Elaeis guineensis (African oil palm). Its description in RNAcentral is "long non-coding RNA (EGUI_LNC039441)". The record is from RNAcentral. Lineage: Eukaryota; Viridiplantae; Streptophyta; Magnoliopsida; Arecales; Arecaceae.
UCGAGUGCCCCUAUACAUAGGGGCAGUCUUCCCUUCAGGUAUUCUUCUGAUUCUAGAGCUUUUACCUCUAGUCCAGAGUUCCCAUCCUUAGCCGUGUAUAGGAUACGUCUCCUUGGGGUGUGUUGGUGGAAAAUCUGCAUGGCCCACAGAUGUGAAGAGGUGCAAGGCCCAGAAUAGCCAGGGCCAAUCUCAGAGAGCAUAGAACCAAGCCCG